ACUCUUUGGGGCAAUUCUUGUGUGUUAAUACAUUUCUCAUCUCUGUCCUUCUUUUUCUUCCCACCAUAAAGGGAAGUACCAGGGAGCAGGAGGCUGUAGAAACUCAAGCAUGGCUCUGUGACAGCAUCUCUUAUGCAAUAAGCAAGAAUCUUGUUUGGAUGCAGAACGAGGAUGCCUGGAGCAUCAUCAGCUCCAUAACCAUCAUGCUGACUUUCCUCAAGAAAAUGCACAACGAACCUGCUUUACUUCUGUCAUGCAGCUGAAGAGGGUGACAGCUGCAGUGCAGUCAAUGGCCCUGCAGAAAAGCUCUGAAGCUCUCUGUGUUUUUACCUCAGAGGGAAGGAGAAAGAAUGCUGUUCUUCAAGCAUCUGAAUUAUGCAGCUUAACACAUGAUUAGUUGAUAGCCGAACUAUGGUAACCCUCUGCAUCCUCAUUCCUGCUGUUCAGUUGUUAUCACAAAGCCAAGCACGCAAUUUUGAUCUACAUCUGUAUAUUUUAAAGCUCUUCAAAGAUACACAUAUAUAAUGGCAAUGCUAAGUCAUGGCUUGAAGCAGUGAUAGAGCACUUGGUGGGGAGGCAGGGUCAAGCCAGGGGAGCCCAGGUGCAUGCAAUAGAGACAGGAUGGAGCGAGAAUCCACCCCUUCCCACACCUCAUUUAAGGGUUGGCAGUGGAAGCAAGGAUAUCCUGCUGGAGAUCUUUGUAUGCUUGAGGUCUUUUGAAGGUAAGAACUCCAUAAAGAGAGCAUCGCACAGCAAGGCAGUGGAGAAGUCUGCUCCAAAAUCAAGAGAUGCCUAUUGAACAGCAGCUUUCGAGAAGCCCUAGAGAACCAUUGACCUUAGCCUGGGUGCCUGCGUGUCACCUGCAGCCCAAUGAAACUGCAGAAGAUAAUGUGAGAUCAUGAGGUUUUCCAGGCUGCUUUGCUGUGCUGCAUUAGAUCAGCCUCAAGACUUCUGUAACAGGGUUGAUUAACACAGGACCUUCCAAAAAACACAGCUGGUGACUGAUGCGUAGUUAGGGACUCAGAUGAGUGCUGGGCUGCCUCCAGAGCUGCAGGUUAUCCAUCCAGGAGACACUUGUUCUUCACUCUACAUGGCCUCAGGGCUGAAGGCAGAAAGGGAUCCAAGGGCAGAGGUGCUGGCACUGGGCUGCAGCUGGGCUGGGGUGACCACGGUGUGAUUAGGGGCAAAGCAAGAUGCAUUGGCAUCUUCUAGAGGAGGUUGUUCUGUCUCUUCCUCUCUCUCCUUCAUGUGUCAGUGAAACCAUGUGAAGAACAAAAGAAUAUGCUUUGCUCUUUAAUUACUGGUCAAAUUAAUUGUGGUAACUGAGCAAUAUGUUCAUAUUUGUUUCUUUUUUGACCCCUUGUGGGGUUUUUUUGUUAGUUUUUAGUUAGUUUGGAGAACUGUGUGCACUUGAAGUCCCUUGAGGGAGAAAGAUGGGACAACCUCACGGGGAUGGGGAUCCUGCUCUCUAGUCAGGGCCCCACAGCUGGUGGGAAGAACUCAGCUGCUCUCCUGCUUCAUCACAGCAAUAGGGUGAGCACGAGACUUGCUCCUUCUUCAGCUGCUCUGCUGGAGUCAGAGAUCACCACAGAGAAAUCAAAAAACCCCUUUUUCUGUGAGCCCUGUUCUAAAGAGGCAAGUCAAAGUUUGAGCUGUCAGAACAGCCAGGGCCAGGAGUCACCACCACCUUUUUUCCUCAUUUGAAAGGGACUGCUGGUUUGCCUCCUGAUGUGCAGUGUGUGGUUGGCUGAUUAUUAGAGGCAGUAUUUUCUUGGUGCUAGGUCCCUGAGCUGGCAUCAAGUGCUGAGCUCAGCUGUGUGGUCUUGCAGGCUUCUUGUGACCUUGAGGAAGUUGUUCCAUUUUGCUUUGCCUCCUCAUCCACCCCUCUUCCUUCUUCCCUUCCUUCCUGUCCACAGGGAGGUAAAUUCUUUGAUGAAUGAGUUGUCCUUUUGCAUAAGAUCAAAUUCUCUAAAGAGACUGAGUUACUGUGACUUAAUGAGUUAAUUACGUCACUUGUCUGUCAGCAGUAACGAGCUGUAUGUGCGCUCUUAGCUGGCUCUGCCAGGAAAUACAAGCAUUGGUUUAGAAUGCCAUAAAUAGAAUUACUUCAACUAAGAGUCCUCUGCAUUAGGAACUAGGAAAUAAAGCAGGAGGAACAAAGCUCUCUGAAUUAAAAUGUUUGUAGAAAGCAUAAAGCUUCAUUUUCAGAGCACAACCCUGGUGUCCCAGCACACAUCUCCAUUGCAGAGCCCAGUGAGGCAGUGGUGGGAGCUCAUCUUGCAGCAGGACCUCUCAGGGUAAUACAGCAUGAUGGGCCCUUCAACAAGAGGGGUAAGCCAGUGCCACACCAACGGCACGGGUAGGACUCUGGUGCUGAUGGUGCCAGCCAUCAUCAUGGUGUAUGUAGCUUCCUGCAAGUGUCAGGCAGGUCUCUGGUGAUGGAUGUCACGCUCCAGACCAAACUGUCCACACCAUGCACUUAAACUAGCUAGUUAUUUGACUAAGCUGGCCAAUGCAAGUUUUAAUUGCCUUCUUAGAGCUGAAAAUCUGAGAAAGAGGUAAAGAGCGAAGAAGUAGCUUGAAACUGGAGCCUGUAGUUUGCUGUCUUUUAGCUCUCCUUGUAUAUAAAUUCUAAGGAUAUGUAGACUGUUAUGGCUCAUCUGUAUCCCUCUAAUCGCUAAUGAGCUGCCUUUCGUGUCUUAAAGUUAAAGUCAUAAAAGUAAAGUGUGUUUUCUACUGCAGGUCCAUUUCCAUUCUUUAUACAAAUGUCCUAGUGCCCUUUGUAAUGUAUUUGCUAGAAAUCUUGACAGCAUUAUUUGUUUUGUUUUUCUAUCUAAAUGCAAUGCUGAGUGGAAAAAGGCUCAUUAUCUUCCUAUUUCUGAAGAGGAUUCUCUGCCUUUGAAAGGUGCUCUAUUAACAGCCCUAGAGAUAGGGAGACAUACAGAAGAGGCACAGCACAGUUGGGCAGCUUGAGCCCCCUUCCUUGCUGUUGUGUUGCAAGUGAUGGAUGAGUGGUACUUUGCUUAUCAGUCCUGGACUUGUGGGUUCAGCAACCAGGAGGCUCAUCUGUGCCUCAUCUUUUCCCUUGCUAACAGCAAUGCCAGAUGAAAAGAUAUUUACCAAAUCUAGGGAAAUAACCAUUUUGCUUUUUACAAGUCAGUUUUUUCUUCUCUGACUUUGAGACAGUUGACUUGUAACAAGGUGACCCUGGUAUUCGUAUUUGUAAUAAUCAUAUAGAUCACAGAGGUAUCUGAUGGUUAACAAGCCUGAAUUUCUGCAGUACCAGCCUCUCUCUUAGAUUUCUUGAGGUCUCCCUCCUGUGGUAUUUUUGUGGCUGUCUCUGAUACUUCUUUGCUUUCUCGUAUUCUGCCUUUUAACUCUUCAGUAAGUGCCAAUUCCCCCAGUCACCAUCUGUAGCCUUACUGUGCCCUUGGUGAUGUCCUCUAGGUCCAUUCUGCUGUUCCUAUAUGAAUCAGCCCAAUAUGGCUGUAACAUGGGAGAGCUUUAGUCAACCAAAAGACCAAUGCAAUGAUUUAAAACAGGUUGCUCAAUUUGAUUUCAUUAAGGAUUAACUCAACUCAUGGCGGUAUUUUACCCCAGUCUUACGGCAGUAAUUCCAGUUACCCAAGAUACAGAGGAGAUAGCCCAGAAAUCUGGUGAUAAGCGGAGGCCCGUAAUCUUUGGCAAUAUAUUUCCUUCCUUUUUGAGAAGCUUGUCAUUAUGUACAUCAUCAGCCCUGGAAUUGGGAUGGCUUUCUGAGAAAGAAGGAGGACUUGCAGUUGAUUCUGAAUCCCAAGUUUACUAAUAAAAGCCUUUGUUUCCUGGUGAGAAAAGGAAUCUGCUACCAAAAGAAAAAAAAAGGUGUUAGAAAUGGGAAAGCAGAGAGCAAUAAGUGAAAGGAGGGUAGGAAGGCAAACCAUUCUGAAUAUCUUUCUUCUCUGCUUAAAAACCUGCCAUUCCCCAAGGCAGCAGCAGCUCUGUGCCCAGCUGCAUCCUGGCUGCAUGAUGAAGAUGGCUUUAAGCCUCCAUAAGGUCUACCCAAGGCUGCUGGCAGUUAUCUAUUAGAUGGAGCUGAUAGAUGAUCUCCUCCUUGUGUGUACCAUGUGCACGUGCUACUUUUGUGAUUCUCCACAUCUUCAGAGAGCCUUCAUAAGCACAUCUAGGGGAUCAUUUGAAGUCCUUUGAAAUCGAGAAGGGUCUGUCUUUUUCCUCCAGUGGGCUUUGGCUGUUGGGAUUAUCCCUAUUUCACAGCAGUUUUAUUUUCUACUUAGGAAAUUCCUCAGCAGCUUUUCAGAAGAGGUCAAAGAAAUGGCAUCUAUGCCUCAGGCCUCUUCCUGGGACUGUGAUAAGAUCGUACAUCAGCAUCAGUUCCAAGCUGCAGAUGUUUGAGGACUUAAGAAGUGAAAAGCAAUUUUAAAAGUGAACAAAAACCUCAGGUAACAUAGUCUGGCUCAACAAACCACUCGUUAUGUUCAAAUCUUGUUAAUCUCAUUGGGAAUCUGCUCUGUGUUUUGUUGUAUUUCAUCAAAACAUAAACCUCCUGGCUCCCACUUAACCCAGCAGGGAGGUUUGGAUUUAUUUUCUCUUUCAACACAUUCACCAAGGGUUUUCAGAACUUGCUUAUGAGUUGUAAGUGUGUAGGGUCUUGUGAAUUUAUGGUCACAGGCUCACAUUGCUGAAAUCUCAUUUUUUUGGAGAGUUCUUUCCUACGUAUUAAAAUCAUUGGAUGUA
Molecule: non-coding RNA, 4731 nt
Organism: Coturnix japonica (Japanese quail)
Lineage: Eukaryota; Metazoa; Chordata; Aves; Galliformes; Phasianidae
Source: RefSeq, a predicted model, not a curated record